CGUGAGGAACCUGCCUCAAAGAGGGGGACAACAGUUGGAAACGACUGCUAAUACCGCAUAAGCCCACAGCUCGGCAUCGAGCAGAGGGAAAAGGAGUGAUCCGCUUUGAGAUGGCCUCGCGUCCGAUUAGCUAGUUGGUGAGGUAAAGGCUCACCAAGGCGACGAUCGGUAGCUGGUCUGAGAGGACGACCAGCCACACUGGGACUGAGACACGGCCCAG
This 220-nucleotide ribosomal RNA is filed under the name uncultured bacterium. Its description in RNAcentral is "partial 16S ribosomal RNA". It matches the Rfam family "Bacterial small subunit ribosomal RNA", at positions 116 to 334 of the family's 1533-position model. The record is from RNAcentral.